This 855-nucleotide ribosomal RNA is filed under the name uncultured low G+C Gram-positive bacterium. RNAcentral describes it as "bacterial SSU rRNA". The stretch from base 6 to 544 matches the Rfam family "Bacterial small subunit ribosomal RNA", at positions 9 to 546 of the family's 1533-position model. Lineage: Bacteria; Bacillati; Bacillota. The record is from RNAcentral.
CAUUAGAGUUUGAUCCUGGCUCAGGACGAACGCUGGCGGCGUGCCUAAUACAUGCAAGUCGAGCGGACAUCUUCGGAUGUUAGCGGCGGACGGGUGAGUAACACGUGGGUAAUCUGCCUGUUAAACUGGAAUAACGCCUGGAAACGGGUGCUAAUGCCGGAUAAUAAGUUUUAGGGCAUCCUAAGACUUUGAAAGGUGCUACGGCACUACUAAUAGAGGAACCCGCGGCGCAUUAGCUAGUUGGUGGGGUAGAGGCCUACCAAGGCGACGAUGCGUAGCCGACCUGAGAGGGUGACCGGCCACACUGGGACUGAGAGGGGGGCCANACUCCUACGGGAGGCAGCAGUAGGGAAUCUUCCGCAAUGGGCGAAAGCCUGACGGAGCAACGCCGCGUGAGCGAGGAAGGUCUUCGGAUUGUAAAGCUCAGUCCCUUGGGAAGAGCGGAUAGAAGAGGGAAUGCUUCUAUCGAGACGGUACCCGAAAAGGAAGCCCGGGUAACUAGGGGCCAUCAGCCGCGGUAAUACGGUAGGGGGCAAGAGUGACCCGAAUUGCUGGGCAUAAAGGUGCCUAAGGGGUUUUGGAAGAGCGGAAGGGAAGUUCUGGGUUAGGCCNGGAAUGCUUUGGAAUCGGGGGGAGUUGAGGGCUGGGAGGCCACGGGCAACGGCGCNGCGGGNNGGAAUGGCGGAUAUAGUGGUCGAAGUCACUGCGGGAAGGGGCUAUGGUAUCACACACUGAGGGGNGNGCGGGCAGACGGGGGAUGGAGUGGUGUGGAGUCGCGAGGAAGGGACCGGGCCGGGACGGGCGGAGACGCGAAACGCGAGCCGCCACGAAUGAGGGGCUCAGGCAGGGGUUCAC